This is a long non-coding RNA of Caretta caretta (loggerhead turtle), 492 nucleotides long. RefSeq lists it as uncharacterized. Lineage: Eukaryota; Metazoa; Chordata; Testudines; Cheloniidae. The record is from RefSeq and is a predicted model, not a curated record.
UGACUCUCAGUUCACGUCUGUAUCCUCCAAACUACACUCUCUUCCACACUCAUUUAAACUGGGCAGACCACAAAUAUGGGUUUAAAUAUAACUCAAUUAAAAAUGUCUUUGAAAAUUACCCACAAGAUGGAUGAAUGAAUAGUUAACUGAUGCCGGAUGAAUUUGUAAUCAGAUUACCUGCCCAAAGUAUCUUAAGACCUGUAACAGUGAGCGUUAACAAUGCCAAGUACCCCGCCUGUGCUGACCCGGGAAUAUUGGGGGAAGAAUCCAUGGAGAAAAAAGAUAAUUCAAAAUCCAGAUUUGUUCCCAUGACUUGUAAUUUUCCUGAAUGUGAUUCAAGACACUUGGAGAGGGCUGGCGGGCAGGAAUAGCUGAACACUUAUACUCUGAUCAAGGUAGCUGGCAGAUCCGAUAAUACUACAAGCAUCUUACCUACCACUUUACUUCGGUCUCUUGCUUUCACUAUAGGUCACAUAUGUAUGUUGUGAAUAA